GGGGAUAUGGCGCAGUUGGGAGCGCGCUUGAAUGGCAUUCAAGAGGCCGGGGGUUCGAAUCCCCCUAUCUCCACCA
Molecule: transfer RNA, 76 nt
Filed under: Bacillota bacterium
Lineage: Bacteria; Bacillati; Bacillota
Also listed under: 1 other name
Description: Firmicutes bacterium (anaerobic digester metagenome) tRNA-Ala
Rfam family: tRNA
About the family: Transfer RNA (tRNA) molecules are approximately 80 nucleotides in length.
Source: RNAcentral